This is a long non-coding RNA of Tripterygium wilfordii, 3726 nucleotides long. RefSeq lists it as uncharacterized. Lineage: Eukaryota; Viridiplantae; Streptophyta; Magnoliopsida; Celastrales; Celastraceae. The transcript has 5 exons. The record is from RefSeq and is a predicted model, not a curated record.
GAUUCGUCUCUUCCGGUUUUCAGGACACAACCGCUUUCAUAUUUGUCUUUUUCUUUUUUUCUAAUUCUUUUAGGAAAGCUUUCGUCUGACGCUAAGGUCACUCUGGUUUUAGGGUAAUCUUAAUAUUUCCUUCUGCCUGCCUCUAGACGGCUAUGACAAAGUUCGCUUUACUCGGUUCUCCCUACAUAAUCCAAUAGUGUGGUGUUUCAGAUGGUUCUAAGUGCGAGUGCGAUCACACAGUGCCGACGAUGAUCUCGCAUUAAGAGUCUCUUGAGAUUGUACUGCGAAUGGGCAAGCGUUUGCCGCCUGUUACGGUGUCCCUCCACGAUGUUCUUGGCAUGGUCUUGCCGGAGGAUACACGGCUUCAGUCAAGUGAUAUCUUCUUGGUUGCGUCAAGACACUGAAAUCUCUGUCCGGGUAUAUUAAAGCCGCUGUGUAGUAUCCGAAUGCUUAAAGCUUCCUUAUUAGGUUAAGGUCGUGCCUCAAGUUCCAAACCCAUGAGGUGUAAAACAAACCAGGUAUGACUUCAGCAAAUUAAUAUUUAGUGUUUCGAUCCAUUCCUAAUUGGAUGCAUGAAUUUUGGAUUACUAGAUGAGGUCAUUGUUACGUUGUUAGUGUCUGUUUUGGUUGGUUGUAUGAAAACCUACUUUCUGCUCUCUUAACCUAUUUAAGUUCCACUACAUAUUCCAAUCAGUUACAAAGGAAGGGUAUUACUCUUUCAAAUCAUUGAUCAAAUGCAAAUAGAUUGACAACUGAGAACUGAGAAGGCCUUAAGUCCGGCAGAAUUGAGAAAAAACAUUCUGACAUUGUGAAUACUAAGUUAUUGCCAAAAGGACCAUCUCCUACAAAGAAAUUCAUUGACGAUCUUUUGGACUUGAGCAAGUUGUAUAGCUUAUCACCCUAAUUGGCUUCACUGUAUGACCCUUCUCAGCAUGGCAUUGUGCUUUGCAAGUCCAUUUAUAAAAGCAGACUACAAAAAGGCCGAGUUAAGUUAAUUUCUCUUCAAUGCUUGGGGCUUUUGUAAAGGCAAGUAGUUCAGCACGACAUCUGAUUCUGAUACAAACCAUAUAAGACGUUGUUAGAAUGCAUACAUUGAAAGCGGCAAUGCAUUCGAAGUUAAAUAUGUUGCCCUUGAAACCAAUUUAUUGGUUAUAUUGUGACAAAGGGAGCCUAUAAAAGAAAAAGGGCAAAAUAUUUAACGAGUCCAUUAAACCAUAUAUGAGAUUGUCGGAAAUCGGAAUAAAUGCAUUGAAAGCGGCAAUGCAUUCGAAGUUAAAUAUUUUGCCCUUGAAACCAAUUUAUUGGUGAUAUUGUGACAAAGGGAGCAUAUACAAGAAAAAUGACAAAAUAUUUAACGAGUCCACUAAAUCAUAUAUGAGAUUGAAAUCGGAUACAUGCAUUGAAAGCGGCAAUGCAUUUGAAGUUAAAUAUUUUGCUUUGAAACCAAUUUAUUGGUUAUAUUGUGACAAAGGGAGCUUAUAAAAGAAAAGGGGGCAAAAUAUUUAACGAGGCCACUAAACCAUAUAUGAGAUUGUCGGAAAUCGGAAUACACGCAUUGAAAGCGGCAAUGCAUUGGAAGUUAAAUAUUUUGCCCUUGAAACCAAUUUAUUGGUUAUAUUGUGACAAAGGGAGCCUAUAAAAGAAAAGGGGAAAAAUAUUUAAUGAGUCCACUAAACCAUAUAUGAGAUUGCGGAAAUCGGAAUACAUGUAUUGAAAGUGGCAAUGCAUUGGAAGUUAAAUAUUUUGCUCUUGAAACCAAUUUAUUGGUUAUAUUGUGACAAGAGGAACCUAUAAAAGCAAAAGGGCAGAAUAUUUAAUGAUUCCACUAAACCAUCUAUGAGAUUGUUAGAAUACAUGCAUUGAAAGUAGCAGUGCAUUGGAAGCUCAAUAUUUUGCCCUUGAAACCAAUUUAUUGGUUAUAUUAUGACAAGAGGAGCCUAUAAAAGCAAAAGGGAAAAAUAUUUAACGAGUCCAGUAAACCGUAUAUGAGAUUAGCAGAAUACAUGCUUUGAAAGCGGCAAUGGAUUGAAAGUUUAAUAUUUUGCCAUUGAAACCAAUUUCUUGGUUAUAUUGUGACAAGGGGAACCUAUAAAAGCAAAAGGGCAAAGUAUUUAUCGAGUCGAUACAAUAGAUCGUCUUUCAAUCUACCCGAAGUUGAGAAAGCAUUAGCUAAGUUGAAACCUCUAAGACUAAAAGUAGAACUAUAGUUCUGACUUCUUGGAAGCACAAAAUAAGUGAGCACAUGAAUAUGGUUUUGAGAAUGAACAAUUCAUGACUCUGUAAAACAUGGCCUAGUGGUAGAUAUUCACAUAUUUUCGGAUCUUAUCUCUUUUUAUUCUAUUUUGCGGUCAUACUCUUAAGGCUCAAGUCUAAGUGAAUGAAAAAAAAGGUAGGAGGAUUGCUAUUUCUUGAGGCUGAAAUUAAAAAAUUAUUGUCUUUACAUGCUGUCUUGUAUUUCCACUUGGAUGGUCAUUUCUUAAUGGCUGUCUUUUUCAAGCUUGAGGGAUUGUUGAUGAUUGAACUAAUUUUUUCCUUGAACAGGAUAUAAUGAGGCAAACAGGAGAGAAGCCUUUACUGCUGUUUUGGACGUAAAUUCUUUUUUGCGCUUUUAAUGAGGAAUUUAGUUUUGUCAUUACCUCAUUGCCUUUAUGACGCCUGCACAUUUCACACUUGUUAGAUUCAGGCACACUUUGUCAUUACUAAUCUACUUUGCUUUGCUAAUAUACUCUAUGGGGCUUUUACAGAUUAUUGGCUGCCUUUUGCAACAUACUGUCUUGGGUAUGACUAUGUACUUGUGUUGGUAGUGGACGACGCUUCUGAAGGAGCCUUGUUGAACACUGAAAGAGAGAAUCCUUGUUUCAAUGAUAUCUUCUAGGUUGCGUCAAGCUACUGAAAUAUCUGUUUGGGUUUAUUAACGUUGUGAUGUAGUCUACAAGUGCUUAAAGCUUCCUUAUUAGGUUUCGGUCAUGCCUCAAGUUCCAAUCCAACAAGGUGCAAAGAAAAACCUGGAUUAUAUCUUAAAAUCAGGAGAUGCUUGCUACUUAAACUGUCUGAAUGGUUUUCGCAAACUAAGACACAUAAUGACCAGUGUAGCUCUCUCCUCUUAUGUGAAAAUAUCUGGUUUUGUAUUCUGGGAACCUUUCCAGCCAGUUGACAAGAAAGGUGUAGGCAUCAUCUGCUGCACUUUUAUCUCCAGUUUGGUUAUAGUUGGAUGAAUAAGAAAAGCCUAUCCACUGCUGGGGAUUCCAAGAAUAUUACAUUUGCCACUGGCAUUGAUCACUGAAACAGUGAGUGAUUUUUUUAAUAUAGGAGAAACAGUGUAAGAAUAAAGAGGUCAUGCAAGAUCAGGAAUUCUCCUUACUUGCGUAAACAAAAUCACCUGAUUCUCGUUCCCGGUCGCAAGUGAGAUGUCUUCAGCAGAACUGAGCUUCUCUUCCAAUUUACCUACAUCAGCUUUCUUUUUUCUUGAAUAGAUUGGUUCGUGAAUAUACAUACUCCUUUAAGCGUGUCUAUAUUCAGACCGAAAUGGACUUGUAUUCAGCAAUUCAAUUUUGAAUAGAUAAUAGUGCAGAUGGUAUUGAGUUGAAGACUCAUCUGUAAGAUCUUUUGAGAAGACUGCGUUGCUGCUAUCUCCCAUGGAUGCAGCAGCAGUUCGAGUUUAAAUGACGAGAGUGUAUAUGUGGACAAUGUUCAUCACUUGGAAGAAGAGUCAAAAGCCUCCAUGGA